This 460-nucleotide ribosomal RNA is filed under the name uncultured bacterium. RNAcentral's name for it is "partial 16S ribosomal RNA". It matches the Rfam family "Bacterial small subunit ribosomal RNA", at positions 338 to 795 of the family's 1533-position model. The record is from RNAcentral.
CCUACGGGUGGCAGCAGUGAGGAAUAUUGGUCAAUGGGCGCGAGCCUGAACCAGCCAAGUAGCGUGAAGGAUGACUGCCCUACGGGUUGUAAACCUCUUUUGUCGGGGAACAAAGGCGUCCACGUGUGGACUGAUGAGUGUACCCGAAGAAAAAGCAUCGGCUAACUCCGUGCCAGCAGCCGCGGUAAUACGGAGGAUCCGAGCGUUAUCCGGAUUUAUUGGGUUUAAAGGGAGCGUAGGCGGGUUGUUAAGUCAGUUGUGAAAGUUUGCGGCUCAACCGUAAAAUUGCAGUUGAUACUGGCAUCCUUGAGUACAGUAGAGGUAGGCGGAAUUCGUGGUGUAGCGGUGAAAUGCUUAGAUAUCACGAAGAACUCCGAUUGCGAAGGCAGCCUGCUGGACUGUAACUGACGCUGAUGCUCGAAAGUGUGGGUAUCAAACAGGAUUAGAUACCCUUGUAGUC